GGGCCGGGCGCCGAGGCGGAAGUGUGCGGUGACCCAGGUGGGCGGGGAAAGGCGACCAGGUCGGGCCCGCCUGGCUCUCCUAACGUGGCAGCGGCCCUCUCGGAGCUGACAUCCCCGCCUGCCUUGAGCGACCUCGCGCCCCGCGGCCCCGGAGCCCCUGUGCCCCCGCGCCCUCCGGCUCCACCAGCUUCCUGGACGCGAGCUUUCCCAGUGACGUCAUACGCGGCGACUUCCGGUUCCCGCUCCCCAGGUCGGACCCUCACGUGCGGGCGGUUCCAGCAGUGGCUCCUGCAGCCUUUUAAUGGAAGGGCCGGCCCCGGGGAGGACGGUGCAGGCAAUUCUUCAGACAGUCAUCAUGGGUAUUCGAGGACUAAUGAGCUUUGUGGAAGAUCAUAGUAAUGAGUUCUUCACUGAUUUGAAGUUAAGAGACACAAAAAUUGUCAUUGAUGGCUACGCUCUCUUCCACCGGCUUUGCUUCAACUCAAACUUGGAACUUCGGUAUGGAGGAGACUAUGAUUCUUUUGCAGAUGUUGCACAAAAAUUCUUUGAAUCACUGUUGGCUUGUAAUAUCUGUCCAUAUGUUGUAUUAGAUGGAGGAUGUGAUAUUUCCGAUAAAAAACUUAAAACUUUAAAGGAUCGAGCUAGGGAGAAGAUCCAGAUGGCUCAUUCCCUUUCUGUUGGUGGGGGUGGGUAUGUGUGUCCUUUACUCAUCCGGGAAGCAUUCAUACAGGUUUUGAUCAAGCUACAAGUGUCUUUUGUCCAGUGCUUCUCAGAGGCAGAUCGGGACAUUAUGACACUGGCUAAUCAUUGGAAUUGCCCUGUGUUAUCAUCAGAUAGUGACUUUUGCAUCUUUGACCUAAAAUCGGGGUUUUGCCCCUUAAAUAGCUUUCAGUGGAGAAAUGUGAACACUAUCAAAGGCACACAAGACUGCUAUAUCCCUGCCAAAUGCUUUUCCCUUGAUGCAUUGUGCCAUCACUUCAGCAACAUGAAUAAAUCUCUACUACCUCUUUUUGCGGUGCUAUGUGGAAACGAUCAUAUUAAUCUACCCAUCAUAGAGACAUUCUUAAGUAAAGUGCGUCUUCCUCUUGGAGCUACCAGUUCUAAGGGGAGGAGACACCACCGAGUUCUGGGACUUCUGAAUUGGUUAUCUCAUUUUGCUGACCCUACUGAAGCACUCGAUAAUGUUCUGAAAUAUCUCCCAAAAAAGGAUCGUGAAAAUGUUAAGGAAAUUCUCUGCUGUUCCAUGGAAGAAUACCAGCAAUCUCAGGUGGAGCUGCAAGACUUUUUCCAGUAUGGUACUUAUGCUUGUCCAGCAGCCUUGAAUCUGGAUUUACCCGAAUGGGUAUUAGUGGCUUUGGCCAAAGGCCAGCUCUCUCCUUUCAUCAGUGAUGCUUUGGUGCUAAGACGGACCAUUCUGCACACACAGGUAGAAAAUAUGCAGCAGCCAAAUGCCCACAGAAUAUCUCUGCCCAUCCGGCAAAUCAUUUAUGGGCUUCUUCUGAAUGCUUCUCCACAUCUGGAAAAUACAUCCUGGAAUGUAUUGCCUUCUCAGCCUCUAGCUUUCAGUGAAGUGGAAAGGAUUAAUAGAAAUAUCAAAACAUCAACUGUUAAUGCAGUAGAACUGCCCAAGGAUCAUUCUGACUUAAGCAAAUUGACUGAGGUUAACAGGUCCAUUCCCAGCUGUCAACACAACACAAUGAUUGACCACAAACUCGGUUUUAGAUAACGGAGAAAUAUUUCAUCCUUUCAGAAAGUUAAGAAAUCCUUUUCUGGCUGCAUGCAGACAUUAGGAAUACAACUGUUUGUUUUUUUUGUUUUGUUUUUUUCCCGUAAAGUUUGAUCAUAAAAAGUCCUUCUAAAGGUGCCCUUUUAAUAGUCCUAAUUUCCUUAUUUGUAGAAAUGUGUGGCCUAUAAGGUCCCUUAUGGUUCUUAAGAUUCAUUAAGGUAAAGUUAAUUCAAGAAGCCUGAAACCCUCAUAGCUAUUAACUUCCUUUUAUUUGAAGUACACUCUAAAGCAUGGAGUAAAAGUGAGUAUGGAGUUUUAUUGUAAACACGAUACAGGUAGUCCUUAAAUCUUACUAUCUCCCUUGAUGUUUCUCUCACCUACAAGCAGCCACCCUGGAAUAAUCCUUGUGUGGGAAAACAAAGAUAAUAAAACAUUCACCUGGGUAGGGACAAGAGACAGGACCCAAAUAGAAGGCUGUAUAUGCCACAAAGGGUGCAUAUACUCUAUGUUUGCCUUCUGGAAGUGAUCAGUAAUGGCAUCGUGAAGAAGGCAGGGUCUCAAUAUUCACUGGCAAGUAAGAGUAAGGUUGAAUAUACAUCUUUGUGUCUCAAAGCAGAUAGUUAAAAUGCAGAUUCCUGGGUUCCUCUCAUAUUUACUGAAUCAAAAUUCGGGGGUUGGGACCUGAGGACUGAAUAUUUUAAUAAGCUUCCUAAGUGAUACAUGCACUGAAGAUGUUCACCAGCCUACAUGGAAGAUGGAAUAUCAUGAGCAAGGGCUGUGUAGUGGGGGUAGACAAUAUAGCCAUUCAACCAUAUUUAUUAAGCACCCAGUGUUUUAAAUGCUUUGAAUGUUGCUGAUUUCUUUCCAUAGGAAGAUAAGAAACUGACAGACAAUUCAUUUGCAUUGAAGUCUCUUCAGAGUAGGAAAAAAAGAAAAAAAACACCAAAGACAUUCCCCAAAGUAACUUGCAGGAUGUUUGGUAUGUAUUUUCAGCUCUCGUUGGCCAAACGUCAGAUACUUCUGUUAGAAACUCUGAAGGUGAAACAGACCAUCCUGGAACCAAUCCCUUCUUCAUUGAAGCUGCCCAUUUCUGUCAGUUGCUAUUGGUUGCAGCACACAGAGGGCAAGGCAAAGCUACAUCACCUCCAGGCCUUACUGCUAGGGAUGCUGAUGGGGCCCUUGCAUGCCAUAAUCAACAGCCCUGGAAUUGUGGACCCCGCACCCAGGCAGGCUCAGUGCCUUGCUGCUCGCUAAUUGGUAAAAGAUAAGGAAGAUCUGCGGGAGGAUGGUGCUAGGAUGUUGUAUGAAGAGUUCCAAAGAGUGAAGGAGCAGACGCGGCCGGGCACGAGACUGGACUUAGACACAGCUCACAUCUUCUGUCAGUGGCAGUGCUGUCUGCAGA
Molecule: RNA transcript, 3128 nt
Organism: Canis lupus familiaris (dog)
Lineage: Eukaryota; Metazoa; Chordata; Mammalia; Carnivora; Canidae
Gene: ASTE1
Gene name: asteroid homolog 1
Exons: 5
Source: RefSeq, a predicted model, not a curated record